CCUAGGGAGGCAGCAGUGGGGAAUAUUGCACAAUGGGCGCAAGCCUGAUGCAGCCAUGCCGCGUGUAUGAAGAAGGCCUUCGGGUUGUAAAGUACUUUCAGCGGGGAGGAAGGUGUUGUGGUUAAUAACCACAGCAAUUGACGUUACCCGCAGAAGAAGCACCGGCUAACUCCGUGCCAGCAGCCGCGGUAA
This 192-nucleotide ribosomal RNA is filed under the name uncultured Enterobacteriaceae bacterium. Its description in RNAcentral is "partial 16S ribosomal RNA". It matches the Rfam family "Bacterial small subunit ribosomal RNA", at positions 338 to 523 of the family's 1533-position model. Lineage: Bacteria; Pseudomonadati; Pseudomonadota; Gammaproteobacteria; Enterobacterales; Enterobacteriaceae. The record is from RNAcentral.